Molecule: long non-coding RNA, 258 nt
Filed under: Mytilus galloprovincialis (Mediterranean mussel)
Lineage: Eukaryota; Metazoa; Mollusca; Bivalvia; Mytilida; Mytilidae
Source: RNAcentral
GAUAUACAAAAAAAAGAAGAUGCUCCACAGGGCACAGCUUUAUACGACCGCAGAGGUUGAACCCUGAACGGUUGGGGCAAGUAUGGACACAACAUUCAAGCUGGAUUCAGCUCUAAAUUUGGAUUGUGAUUAAAUAGUUGAGACAGCAUAGGUUUCUGACACAGAAUGAAUGUGGUCUAAUGAACUUAAAUUUCUUUUUUUUUUUGCCUUUGAGCGAUUCACUAUGCUGUUGAAUAUUAAUCCUAUCAAAAAAAAAAU